AGCAGCCGCGGUAAUUCCAGCUCCAAUAGCGUAUAUUAAAGUUGUUGCAGUUAAAAGCUCGUAGUUGAAUUUCGGGAUCAAUUUAUUGGUCGUGCAGUAGUACGUACUGGUAUUAUUGGUUCCUACCUUCUGAUGAACCAUGAUGUCAUUAAUUUGGUGUUAUGGGGAAUCGGGACUGUUACUUUGAAAAAUUGAGUGUUUAAAGCAGGCUCACGCUUGAAUACAUUAGCAUGGAAUAAUGAAAUAGGACGUUUGAUUCUAUUUUGUUGGUUUCUAGGAUCGACGUAAUGAUUAAUAGGGAUAGUUGGGGGCAUUAGUAUUCAAUUGUCAGAGGUGAAAUUCUUGGAUUU
Molecule: unclassified non-coding RNA, 350 nt
Filed under: uncultured Entrophospora
Lineage: Eukaryota; Fungi; Glomeromycota; Glomeromycetes; Entrophosporales; Entrophosporaceae
Description: SSU rRNA
Rfam family: Eukaryotic small subunit ribosomal RNA
Source: RNAcentral